GUCUACAGCCAUGCCACCCUGAACAAGCCUGAUCCCAUCUGAUCUUGGAAGCUAAGCAGGGUCGGGCCUGGUUAGUACUUGGAUGGGAGACCACCUCGGAAGACCAGGAGCUGUAGACA
RNAcentral lists this ribosomal RNA (119 nucleotides) under Pteropus alecto (black flying fox). The record is from RNAcentral. Lineage: Eukaryota; Metazoa; Chordata; Mammalia; Chiroptera; Pteropodidae.